RNAcentral lists this ribosomal RNA (467 nucleotides) under uncultured bacterium. RNAcentral describes it as "partial 16S ribosomal RNA". It matches the Rfam family "Bacterial small subunit ribosomal RNA", at positions 29 to 507 of the family's 1533-position model. The record is from RNAcentral.
ACGCACGCUGGCGGCGUGCUUCACCCCUGCCAGUCGAACGGAAAGGCCCUGCUUUUGUGGGGUGCUCGAGUGGCGAACGGGUGAGUAACACGUGGGUAACCUGCCCUUGACUUUGGGAUAACUUCAGGAAACUGGGGCUAAUACCGGAUAGGAGCUCCUGCUGCAUGGUGGGGGUUGGAAAGUUUCGGCGGUUGGGGAUGGACUCGCGGCUUAUCAGCUUGUUGGUGGGGUAGUGGCUUACCAAGGCUUUGACGGGUAGCCGGCCUGAGAGGGUGACCGGCCACAUUGGGACUGAGAUACGGCCCAGACUCCUACGGGAGGCAGCAGUGGGGAAUAUUGCACAAUGGGCGGAAGCCUGAUGCAGCAACGCCGCGUGCGGGAUGACGGCCUUCGGGUUGUAAACCGCUUUCGCCUGUGACGAAGCGUGAGUGACGGUAAUGGGUAAAGAAGCACCGGCUAACUACGUG